CUUGCUGGUGUGACAUUCGUUUGAGUGAGCAGUUUGUAAGGGAAUGUUAUUAGCUAGCUAUCUUUAACAACGGUCAGUAAAGUAUCGAUUUGAUUGAAGACCAAUGGAAAUGCGACGAACAUGUCGACCAUAACUUUUCUGCCGUCACCACUCGAAUGUUCCAUACCACCAGCACUGCAGCAGCGUGUUUCUCUUGCGAGCCCCACUGAAAUGGAAACACCCAAGACCUUGUUAAACAGGAAAUAGACCAGGUCUGUUCGUCAGCCACCCUCUGUCCCCCCUGCGAUCAUGGAGGCCCAAGCAGGGGAGGAGCUAGGCCCAAGUGGUUCGGCUCCUGCAUCGUCUGACUCCGCCCCCAGCCCACAUAGCGAGGCAGUGACCAAUGAGCUGCAAGAGCUGUCGCUGCAACCCGCCCCCAACCUGCUGCCCCUGAGAGACAGGAAAAACGGUGAGUGCACGUUCUGAUU
Salvelinus sp. IW2-2015 is the source of this 467-nucleotide long non-coding RNA. RefSeq lists it as uncharacterized. NCBI's taxonomy places the organism in Eukaryota, Metazoa, Chordata, Actinopteri, Salmoniformes, Salmonidae. The record is from RefSeq and is a predicted model, not a curated record.